Molecule: long non-coding RNA, 220 nt
Filed under: Brassica rapa (field mustard)
Lineage: Eukaryota; Viridiplantae; Streptophyta; Magnoliopsida; Brassicales; Brassicaceae
Description: long non-coding RNA (BRAP_LNC008248)
Source: RNAcentral
GAACACACUUUUAUAUUUAUGAAGGAGUUGGGGAAAUCCCCCAUACUCUCUUAAGAGAGUUACAAACGCCCAUGAGGGUCUUUAUAUAGGUUUUACACUCUUGCAAACUCAUAAACCUAUAUCUAAUGGAUAGAAAUAACUUAAGAGGAAUGGAUGGUGAGGAUGAGUUGGUCUUGUUGUGAUCUGAGUGAUGUGUGCUGAUUGGAUGAGCUAAGCUGGC